This 885-nucleotide long non-coding RNA is filed under the name Olea europaea (common olive). RNAcentral's name for it is "long non-coding RNA (OEUR_LNC013552)". Lineage: Eukaryota; Viridiplantae; Streptophyta; Magnoliopsida; Lamiales; Oleaceae. The record is from RNAcentral.
UGAAUAGUCACUAGUUAGUAUCAGUACCAUCCCACACAUACUACAAUUGUGGCCAAUCCAACGUAAACUCUAAGCUACAUAUCGUUAGCCAGUUUAUUUUUAUAUGACGGACUGCCAGGAAAUAGGAUAUCAUAAUCAUUUAUAUGCAACUAGGUAGUAUUAUGAACUCUAAAUUCAGCAAUUCCCUGCCACAUUCUGAUUAAUUAGUAACAACGAGAAGGCCUAGCGUAGAUGAACAAUAAUCAAGCACCACAGGGUUUCAGGUCAAACAAAUCAUUAAAGUAUGUAAUCAGAUAAACAAGAUUAAUGGGUUGUGCUAAAGAAACAGGAAGACUGAAAGAUCUGAAUACAGCGAAAAAUAACUUAAUUAUGAAUCAAGACCGCAUCAACGCAAAAUUAGAGUUCAUUCCAAUAAACAUCCACCCCAAGCUCACUACCCAGUACCCAUCAAAAUCCAAAUCUUAUUCAAAGACAAAACAAGGCAGACACAGUAUUUAAUUAAUUGGCAGUUAGUUCCAGAUAAAUAGAAAAUAACCUCCAAGUAAAAUAUUCAAAACUGUAAAGAAUGUACCUGAAAUUGAGGCGGGUCACCGGGGAAUUUUUCCCAAAAGUUAAGGAGAGUGGGGGCUUGUGAAGUCCGGAGCAGGGACGAUGAAGCAGCGGAACUAACUGAGCAGAAAAAUGCAGAGAGGCCAUGUUUUUCUUCGGUGGAAAUUGUAGUGUAGUGUAGUGUAGUGUACGUGUGGCAAUUAUAGAGCCUGUUGCAUCAGUGAUUUUGAGAAUUGAUUUUUUGAUCAUUGGAGAAAAAGUAAGACCUAUUUGAAAGAAAAAGUGAGGCCUAUUUGAAAGAGAAGAAAUCAAAUAUGACGAUUAGAAUAAUAAAAU